CAGUAGUAUGACCUUUGGGUGGGGAAUAACUUAGGGAAACUUAAGCUAAUACCGCAUAAUGCAGCGGCUCCUUCGGGAGACAGUUGUUAAAGAUUUAUCGCCUAAAGAGCAGCCUGCGGCAGAUUAGCUAGUUGGUAAGGUAACGGCUUACCAAGGCUACGAUCUGUAUCCGACCUGAGAGGGUGGUCGGACACACUGACACUGAAUAACGGGUCAG
RNAcentral lists this ribosomal RNA (217 nucleotides) under uncultured bacterium. Its description in RNAcentral is "partial 16S ribosomal RNA". It matches the Rfam family "Bacterial small subunit ribosomal RNA", at positions 118 to 334 of the family's 1533-position model. The record is from RNAcentral.